This 451-nucleotide ribosomal RNA is filed under the name uncultured organism. Its description in RNAcentral is "partial 16S ribosomal RNA". It matches the Rfam family "Bacterial small subunit ribosomal RNA", at positions 329 to 797 of the family's 1533-position model. The record is from RNAcentral.
ACGUACACUCCUGCGGGAGGCAGCAGUGGGGAAUAUUGGACAAUGGGCGCAAGCCUGAUCCAGCCAUGCCGCGUGAGUGAUGAAGGCCCUAGGGUUGUAAAGCUCUUUCACCGGUGAAGAUAAUGACGGUAACCGGAGAAGAAGCCCCGGCUAACUUCGUGCCAGCAGCCGCGGUAAUACGAAGGGGGCUAGCGUUGUUCGGAUUUACUGGGCGUAAAGCGCACGUAGGCGGACUAUUAAGUCAGGGGUGAAAUCCCGGGGCUCAACCCCGGAACUGCCUUUGAUACUGGUAGUCUUGAGUUCGAGAGAGGUGAGUGGAAUUCCGAGUGUAGAGGUGAAAUUCGUAGAUAGUCGGAGGAACACCAGUGGCGAAGGCGGCUCACUGGCUCGAUACUGACGCUGAGGUGCGAAAGCGUGGGGAGCAAACAGGAUUAGAUACCCCAGUAGUCCC